This 253-nucleotide ribosomal RNA is filed under the name uncultured bacterium. Its description in RNAcentral is "partial 16S ribosomal RNA". It matches the Rfam family "Bacterial small subunit ribosomal RNA", at positions 524 to 776 of the family's 1533-position model. The record is from RNAcentral.
UACGUAGGGACCAAGCGUUGUUCGGAUUUACUGGGCGUAAAGGGCGCGUAGGCGGCAUGACAAGUCACUUGUGAAAUCUCCGGGCUUAACUCGGAACGGCCAAGUGAUACUGUCAAGCUAGAGUGCAGAGAGGGCAAUCGGAAUUCUUGGUGUAGCGGUGAAAUGCGUAGAUAUCAAGAGGAACACCUGAGGCGAAGGCGGGUUGCUAGGCUGACACUGACGCUGAAGCGCGAAAGCCAGGGGAGCAAACGGG